GAUGAACGCUGGCGGCGUGCCUAAUACAUGCAAGUCGAGCGAACGGACGAGAAGCUUGCUUCUCUGAUGUUAGCGGCGGACGGGUGAGUAACACGUGGAUAACCUACCUAUAAGACUGGGAUAACUUCGGGAAACCGGAGCUAAUACCGGAUGAUAUUUUGAACCGCAUGGUUCAAAAGUGAAAGACGGUCUUGCUGUCACUUAUAGAUGGAUCCGCGCUGCAUUAGCUAGUUGGUAAGGUAACGGCUUACCAAGGCAACGAUGCAUAGCCGACCUGAGAGGGUGAGCGGCCACACUGGAACUGAGACACGGUCCAGACUCCUACGGGAGGCAGCAGUAGGGAAUCUUCCGCAAUGGGCGAAAGCCUGACGGAGCAACGCCGCGUGAGUGAUGAAGGUCUUCGGAUCGUAAAACUCUGUUAUUAGGGAAGAACAUAUGUGUAAGUAACUGUGCACAUCUUGACGGUACCUAAUCAGAAAGCCACGGCUAACUACGUG
RNAcentral lists this ribosomal RNA (497 nucleotides) under uncultured bacterium. RNAcentral's name for it is "partial 16S ribosomal RNA". It matches the Rfam family "Bacterial small subunit ribosomal RNA", at positions 28 to 507 of the family's 1533-position model. The record is from RNAcentral.